GUCAUUAUCAACCCUCAAGCCCGGCUUGUCAAUUGAACCUCUUGUCGUUAAAAAGACGGGUUCGAAAAAUAAUGACGGUGUCGCGAUCGACCCUAGAUGCAACGAGCUUCACGGCACGCAUGUUAGUGGCCGGCGGCCUCAGUCUCAACCCUAUUUCAAUGGUUGACCUCGGAUCAGGUAGGAAUACCCGCUGAACUUAA
Molecule: unclassified non-coding RNA, 200 nt
Filed under: soil metagenome
Description: partial contains internal transcribed spacer 2 and large subunit ribosomal RNA
Source: RNAcentral